GUGGGGUGGUCACUAUCUAUAGAGGUGUGGGGUGAUCACUAUAGAGGUGUGGGGUGGUCACUAUCUAUAGAGGUGUGGGUGGUCACUAUAGAGGUGUGGGGUGGUCACUAUCUAUAGAGGUGUGGGGUGGUCACUAUAGAGGUGUGGGGUGGUCACUAUCUAUAGAGGUGUGGGGUGAUCACUAUAGAGGUGUGGGGUGGUCACUAUCUAUAUAGGUGUGGGUGGUCACUAUAGAGGUGUGGGGUGGUCACUAUCUAUAGAGGUGUGGGGUGGUCACUAUCUAUAGAGGUGUGGGGUGGUCACUAUAGAGGUGUGGGGUGGUCACUAUCUAUAGAGGUGUGGGUGGUCACUGUAGAGGUGUGGGGUGGUCACUAUCUAUAGAGGUGUGGGGUGAUCACUAUAGAGGUGUGGGGUGGUCACUAUCUAUAGAGGUGUGGGGUGGUCACUAUCUAUAGAGGUGUGGGUGGUCACUAUAGAGGUGUGGGGUGGUCACUAUCUAUAGAGGUGUGGGGUGGUCACUAUAGAGGUGUGGGGUGGUCACUAUCUAUAGAGGUGUGGGGUGGUCACUAUCUAUAGAGGUGUGGGGUGAUCACUAUAGAGGUGUGGGGUGGUCACUAUAGAGGUGUGGGGUGGUCAUUGUUACUGCAGUGGGUGUUAGAGGUGUGGGGUGGUCACUGUGACUGCAGUGGGUGUUAGAGGUGUGGGGUGGUCAUUGUUACUGCAGUGGGUGUUAGAGGUGUGGGGUGGUCAUUGUUACUGCAGUGGGUGUUAGAGGUGUGGGGUGGUCACUAUCUAUAGAGGUGUGGGGUGGGUGUUGGAUGGUCACUGUCGGUCCCCCUGCUGUGUGGAAU
This is a long non-coding RNA of Alosa sapidissima (American shad), 851 nucleotides long. RefSeq lists it as uncharacterized. The record is from RefSeq and is a predicted model, not a curated record. The transcript has 3 exons. NCBI's taxonomy places the organism in Eukaryota, Metazoa, Chordata, Actinopteri, Clupeiformes, Clupeidae.